UUGGGGAAUAGUGUAACGGUAGCACGACUGACUCUGGAUCAGUUAGUCCAGGUCCGAAUCCUGGUUCCCCAGUC
This 74-nucleotide transfer RNA is filed under the name subsurface metagenome. RNAcentral describes it as "tRNA-Gln". It matches the Rfam family "tRNA". Rfam says of the family: Transfer RNA (tRNA) molecules are approximately 80 nucleotides in length. The record is from RNAcentral.